This is a long non-coding RNA of Terrapene triunguis (Three-toed box turtle), 747 nucleotides long. RefSeq lists it as uncharacterized. NCBI's taxonomy places the organism in Eukaryota, Metazoa, Chordata, Testudines, Emydidae. The record is from RefSeq and is a predicted model, not a curated record. The transcript has 4 exons.
AAAAGGUACAUGUGUCUGGUCUCACUCUGGCUUCCUGCAGUACUCGGGCUGCAGCGCGCUCACAGAGACAGUGACACUCGCAGCUGCGGCUGUGCAAGCAGCGCUGUCUGGCGUUAGCAGUGACCCCAGGCUGCAGGAAGUAGCUGUUUUUGCCAGGACACAGCGUGUCAGUAAAUGGUGCAAACUGCCACACACACAGACAAGAAGCUGCAAUGCACAAACCAGCAGAAACCAAACAGGAGGCACAGAGAAUAAAGACACACUGUAGGGACAGAAACAAACUCUGCAUCUUUCCACCGAGGAGGCAAGAGGUCAGCAUACUUGUAUCAUGAAUGGAAAAUCACAGCCUAGGUUGGCUGUAAUACACUGGAAGGAUUUGGGGCAAACACGUCUUGCUGAGUGCAGCACAGCCUGUGGUCAGACAUCUCACCCGGAAAGCAGCUGCAGGUCUGCAGCGAUUAGAGCAACAUGACAAAUGUGGAAUGUGAACUGAGAAAAGAAGCCAGACAGCUUAUUUCCCUCUAACUAUAGACUGUUAGUAAACGUUACACUUACAAUCUGACUGACUGCACGCUGUGACUGUGUAGUAGGUAACUUGGCUAGAUUCAACCCUAGUGUGUAUAUCCCCUCCAUGAACUCCCUCCAGAUCUAUAAGACCACACAUGACCCUGGUUCCACACUCAGACUGAGAACAGUAGUUGGUCAAAGCAUGUAACAUUCCCCAUAAUAAACUUCUCAAAUUCCACA